This 82-nucleotide transfer RNA is filed under the name Streptomyces djakartensis. Its description in RNAcentral is "tRNA-Phe". Lineage: Bacteria; Bacillati; Actinomycetota; Actinomycetes; Kitasatosporales; Streptomycetaceae. The record is from RNAcentral.
CAUGCCGGUGCCCUGGAGGACGCCGGUGAAGACGGCGGCGGCGAAGACCAUGCCGGCGACGUUCAGGACGUUGUCGGCGUGG